GCGGGGGUAGCUCAGCUGGUGGAGCAUCUGCCUUCCAAGCAAAAUGUCGCGAGUUCGAAUCUCGUCCCCCGCUCCA
RNAcentral lists this transfer RNA (76 nucleotides) under Chloroflexota bacterium. Its description in RNAcentral is "Chloroflexi bacterium (marine metagenome) tRNA-Gly". It matches the Rfam family "tRNA". Rfam says of the family: Transfer RNA (tRNA) molecules are approximately 80 nucleotides in length. Their secondary structure includes four short double-helical elements and three loops (D, anti-codon, and T loops). The record is from RNAcentral. Lineage: Bacteria; Bacillati; Chloroflexota.